GGGCGAUGAUGAUAAAAACAUUUCUCGAUUCUGAUCAAAAAACAAUUGGAAUUUGAUAUUGGGUUAGUUAAAACAUCCAAUUUCUUCUUACCAACUGUAACUUGAUGACCGAAUUUGUGCGUGUCUGAGCCUC
Molecule: non-coding RNA, 133 nt
Organism: Helianthus annuus (common sunflower)
Lineage: Eukaryota; Viridiplantae; Streptophyta; Magnoliopsida; Asterales; Asteraceae
Source: Rfam